CUGACCUUACAGCUGUGAGCAACCCGGAGGUCAUGGAGCAACUGAAUCCAAGCGCCUGAGCAACAAACACUCCAGCCUGAACACAGUUCAUGGAGACAUUCAGCUCUGGAUCAAGGAGCCGUGUCACCACAUGCUCCUCCAUCAACUGGGAAUCCACUGAUUAUUCA
Molecule: long non-coding RNA, 167 nt
Organism: Seriola dumerili (greater amberjack)
Lineage: Eukaryota; Metazoa; Chordata; Actinopteri; Carangiformes; Carangidae
Exons: 2
Source: RefSeq, a predicted model, not a curated record